RNAcentral lists this ribosomal RNA (539 nucleotides) under Cyclophorus moellendorffi. RNAcentral describes it as "partial 16S ribosomal RNA". The record is from RNAcentral. Lineage: Eukaryota; Metazoa; Mollusca; Gastropoda; Architaenioglossa; Cyclophoridae.
UAGUAAGAAAAUUUUUUAAAUUAAGUUUCUCGAAACCUGAGGAGCUACCUUAAAUUUUGGUUUAGCCUUAAAUAAAGGUGAGUGUGGCACAACUCUAUUUAAAAUUUAAGGUAGAGAUUAAAUGUUAUUCGUCUUAGGUGAUAGCUAGUUAUAAUAUAAAGAUAUAUAAGUAUCGGAUAUAAUUUCAUUAUGUGUUUAUAUUAUAUAUACAUAAUGACUUAUUUUCUUAAUUAUGUGAGGGUGAGCUCGCAUAAAUUUAUUUUAAUUAAAAUUAUAUAUGAAUCUAAGCUUGGGAUUAGCUAUGAUAAAUUGGAAUUUGUUAAAAAUACAUAUACACAAGAACUUUGUAAUAUAUUAAAUUUAUGUUAUUCAAUUAUAUAAUUAAAAUAAGGUUGAUUUAUGCUAAAAUGAGUAUUAUUAUGGGCAAAAAAAAAAAUAAAUUAAAUUUUUUUAAAAAUUUUUUAUAAAUAUUAUAAAAUAUAUCAUAGGAACUCGGCAAAAAUUUAGCUCCGCCUGUUUAGCAAAAACAUGUCUCUUUG